GUUACAAUAAGUUGCAUAUUAUGACUUUCUAAAAUAAUAUCUUAGCUAGAUUAUCGUUUAAUUUUUAAUAUAAUUGGUAAUUAUUUUAUUAUUUAAUAUAAAUAGUUAAUAAUAUAUAAUUGAUCAAUAUAUUUAUAUUAUAUUACAUAUAUUACUUGUCAAACUAUCGAACAUAUCGAAUUCUCUCUUGAUUUCUAUUUCGAUAAUCGAAAUAAUGGCGCGAAGCGUCAUUGUAGUGUCGUUAAUUGUGGUGUUAAUACUCAUCUUUUUUUCUCGAGAUUAUACAGAUUAUUGGCUACUUGCUGGAAUAACUUUGAAGGCGGGAAAAAUUUCAAUAUGGACGCUAUGAUAUUCAUUUUCUAUGGAGAUGGAAAAUUUGGAUUGAAAAUUUUACUGCGCGCAAUGCAGUCAAUAGAGUCAGUGUUUGUUUCGAAAUAGUAUUUUCAAUAUUUUUUAGAGCACAACUGCUCUAAUUCAAUUUAUUUAUAAUAACCAUUCGCGAAAUUAGAAGCAGUGUUUUUUCGUGGACUAUAAUUUAAACGCGCCAAUAGUCUUUUAUUUAUUUAUUUUUUUAAAUAUUCGUUUUCGAUACAGAGUAGAAUCAGUGCUUCUUUCAAGAGCACAAUGUGAUCAUCCAUCACGCCAAGAGUUUUCAUCCUCCUACUUGCUCAGCUUCUCAACGACUUCUCAUGGGUUACUACAACAUCCAUGGCAAUGCAGAUCCUUCGCAUCGAACGGUGAGUCGCAUGCAUUUUGAUUCCUCCAGUCACUCAAUCAUGUCGUAGGACGAAAGGUCCGAAACGACACGAGUGAUUGGUUGUAUACGUAGAAUUUUGUACGAGCACAGUGACCACGGGUAUUCAUUAUACCCGUGAAUAGUAACAUUUUCUUUUUACGUAUUUUAUUUAUUAGUUCAGGCUAGGUUUUCUUGUGCAUCGCGUUUUUGAAUAGUAAUUAUCAAUACCAAUGUUCUAUCGAUAAUAAUAAAUGACACAAAUUGAAAGAAAUCGAUGACAAAUUUUUUAUCGAUAUUCGCAGAAUCAAAUAUUUAUGAGAAUAUAUUCAUUUUAAUUAAUAAUAAACGAUUGAAAAUGACAAAAUGAACAUCAUCCGACUUCGUUGCAAUAAUAAAUUAUUUUUAAUUUCAUUUUUCACGAUAAUAUAUCACGCGAUUUAAUUAUUGGAUUUUUAAAAUACUAAAAAUAGAACUUUAUUCCUUUCGUUCAAGAAUAUAUGAAAUUUUAUGCGCAAGAAGACAUUUCGCGACAGGCAGAUUUCGGAAUCAAAGUAACAAGUUUUGAACAUUAUUUUUGUAUUUUUCGAAUAUAUACUUUGAUCAAGGAAUCGCCUGAGAUUUAUUUCCAUUAAUAAUUUAAUUAGAUUCACUAUUUAAAUCUUAAUAUUCAUAUUGUUCGUUGAUAUUUUUAUUUGUUUAAUAUUUUUUAUUAUUGAAAAUUCAUCAAAGUAGAGUUUGUUUAAAGCUUAUAAAACAAAAGUACAUAAAUUAAAGAAUAUUAGCCCGUUAGAAAAAAGAUUCAUUAAUAUUUUUUUAGCUCAGGAUUUUCAGGUUUAACCUCUUCCGUGUCCAUUGCCAGGAUCUCACUCACGUGCUCAGGUGCUACUUGGGUGAGAGAGAGGCAAUGGGUACGAUGAUUUUAGUUUAUAAGUUUCUAACAAUUUCUCAGCGACUGACGAUGCGUUAGUGUAUCGUGCGCGACGUAUUUUCCACAUUGUGUAUGCGUGUGGUUAGGCUGUGGAAUUGCGUCGUUUCAAACACUAAUCUAUUCACAAUUAUUAAUCAUUAUUAUAAUAUAACAUUUACGAUAAUAAUAAUUUUAGCCUUAACCUUAUUAUUUCACGUUAUAAUAAUGAUAUUAAAAUUUAUACCAUUUAUCCUGAUUAACAGGAUCAUUUCUUUAGGAGACACGUAUAUUCUUUCGAUUUUAAAUAUUCGCAAUUGAGACGCAAUGGUCGCUAACCGUCGUCAGUCGAUUUCAGGAAAAUGGUACGUAAAGUUAGAGUGUGAGAGACGAGUGCCAAGCUCGGGUGUCGGAGGCGUCCCGGGGCGCUUUCCCUAGUGUAGGCUUUUGCGCCCGAGUAUUAUGCGUGAGAAUCGUUGGAACGAAUGUGUUGGUGUGCCUGCUUUGCCAAUUUUUAAAUAUAGGGUUAGGCAGGAUAGGUAGCAUACUUUCUGGUGCGAAUGUUAAUGGAUAAGUAGGUAGGGCCGGGCAGGUUGUCGCAGUCUCCGCUCGGGUAGGCGCGUUUUCGCGCGGCAACCUGUUUCCGGAAAUACAAUUUGAAAAGUGGAGGAUGCAGCUGGAGAAGAGCGAAGCGCGUCGCUUCUCUCUGGCUUUGUCCAUCGACUUUUCGAAUUGCGCGGUCGCGGUCGCGAUUUCUUCUCGAAACGAACGUCGCGCUCGAGAUUCCUCGGCUUAGCUUCCGCGAUUUAGUCUUUUUUCUUUCUCUUUUUUCUUGAUUCGCGAGCAGGGAAUCUCGAGCCUAGAUUUAAGUUUCAGCGGGCAUCGCGCCCGAAGGAGGAAGACCGAAGAGGCCCGACAAAGUGUCACGAAGAGGGCUGCAACGAAUGGCUCCUCAUUUUUUGGAUCUCGUUUCUCGAGUCCAAAGAAUGGGAAGUCAUUGUUACUACCUCGUCACUGUGCUCGUUUUAGCAAUACGUAGUGUGUGUUUUUGUAUCGUCUGGCCGACGCAUGCGGGCCCAUCGUGUAAUUUUAAUGAGCAAGUCGCGAUUUUUGAAUUAGCGUUGCGUGGUAAAAUAUUACGCGAUUGUCUUUAAACAUUAAUCGGUAUAAUUUUUUUAUUUAAAAUUUUAUUGCAAAAAUAUUAGUUUUCGUUUAAUUUUUUAAUAAUAGCUUUGAAUACGUACAGUAGUAAUCAUAAAUUUGUUAAAUUAAAAAUUAAUAUUAUUUUCUUUUGCGUUGAUGAGUAAACGCGUUUUUGAAUUAGCGUUGCGUAUACAAUUGCUCAAUGUCCUUCCACAAUCACUGUGGAAGAUAUUCCUGAAUCAUUGGACGCAGUGAAAGAGCUGCGCAAGAAUGGUUGUAUAACGGCUCCAAUGAAUCCGUAAUAAUAACCACUUAUCUAAGGAUAUAUGCUGUCGAAUCUUCAUUUUUUUCUUUUUUUUUCGUUGAUUAAGAAAUACAUUACAAAUAUAUUGGAGCGGUUUGUUUUAUAAAUUUAGUAUAUUAGUGUUGCGAAAGAGAAAAGAUCCACUCACGGUUUGUUCGGGUUUAUCGAGUGGAUGAAUUUGAUAGCCCUUCUGGCUAUUUUUUCUUCUUUUCAGCAUCUUAAACGAAGUAUUUGUUAUUGAAAAUAUUAUUAAAGUAAUAUAACAAGAAUUUAUCGUGAUUCGCAUUAAUUAAAGUUAUAAAAUUUUUAGUUUUCAGAAUUAUAAAAAAUUAUGAACUACUUGACAGCAUUUUGAUGCUUUGUUCUUUUUUUUUUAAAUUAUUGAUUGUAAUUACUAAUUUGAUUAAGUUUGUUACAGGUGUGAAUUGAGGAAGAUGAAUAAAAUAAAAG
Molecule: long non-coding RNA, 3537 nt
Organism: Apis cerana (Asiatic honeybee)
Lineage: Eukaryota; Metazoa; Arthropoda; Insecta; Hymenoptera; Apidae
Source: RefSeq, a predicted model, not a curated record